Molecule: ribosomal RNA, 481 nt
Filed under: uncultured bacterium
Lineage: Bacteria
Description: partial 16S ribosomal RNA
Rfam family: Bacterial small subunit ribosomal RNA
Source: RNAcentral
GAUGAACGCUGGCGGCGUGCUUAACACAUGCAAGUCGAACGAAGCAUUUAGGACAGAUUACUUCGGUUUGAAGUUCUUUAUGACUGAGUGGCGGACGGGUGAGUAACGCGUGGGUAACCUGCCUUGUACUGGGGGAUAGCAGCUGGAAACGGCUGGUAAUACCGCAUAAGCGCACAAUGUUGCAUGACAUGGUGUGAAAAACUCCGGUGGUAUAAGAUGGACCCGCGUCUGAUUAGCUAGUUGGUGAGAUAACAGCCCACCAAGGCGACGAUCAGUAGCCGACCUGAGAGGGUGACCGGCCACAUUGGGACUGAGACACGGCCCAGACUCCUACGGGAGGCAGCAGUGGGGAAUAUUGCACAAUGGAGGAAACUCUGAUGCAGCGACGCCGCGUGAGUGAAGAAGUAAUUCGUUAUGUAAAGCUCUAUCAGCAGGGAAGAUAGUGACGGUACCUGACUAAGAAGCCCCGGCUAACUACGUG